This 253-nucleotide ribosomal RNA is filed under the name uncultured bacterium. RNAcentral describes it as "partial 16S ribosomal RNA". It matches the Rfam family "Bacterial small subunit ribosomal RNA", at positions 524 to 776 of the family's 1533-position model. The record is from RNAcentral.
UACGUAGGGGGCUAGCGUUGUUCGGAAUUACUGGGCGUAAAGGGCUCGUAGGUGGCCAACUAAGUCGGACGUGAAAUCCCUCAGCUUAACUGGGGAACUGCGUCCGAUACUGGAUGGCUCGAGUUUGGGAGAGGGAUGCGGAAUUCCAGGUGUAGCGGUGAAAUGCGUAGAUAUCUGGAGGAACACCGGUGGCGAAGGCGGCAUCCUGGACCAACACUGACACUGAGGAGCGAAAGCCAGGGGAGCAAACGGG